This 253-nucleotide ribosomal RNA is filed under the name uncultured bacterium. Its description in RNAcentral is "partial 16S ribosomal RNA". It matches the Rfam family "Bacterial small subunit ribosomal RNA", at positions 524 to 776 of the family's 1533-position model. The record is from RNAcentral.
UACGAAGGGGGCUAGCGUUGCUCGGAAUUACUGGGCGUAAAGCGCACGUAGGCGGGCUAUUAAGUCAGAGGUGAAAGCCUGGAGCUCAACUCCAGAACUGCCUUUGAUACUGAUAGUCUUGAGUUUGUGAGAGGUAAGUGGAAUACCGAGUGUAGAGGUGAAAUUCGUAGAUAUUCGGUGGAACACCAGUGGCGAAGGCGACUUACUGGCACAAUACUGACGCUGAGGUGCGAAAGCGUGGGGAUCAAACAGG